This 978-nucleotide long non-coding RNA is filed under the name Anas platyrhynchos platyrhynchos (common mallard). Its description in RNAcentral is "lncRNA (ENSAPLG00000028440.1)". Lineage: Eukaryota; Metazoa; Chordata; Aves; Anseriformes; Anatidae. The record is from RNAcentral.
CCCAGAUCUGGAUGAAUUUUAAGCAAAUCAGUUCUGAAAAGGAUCACAGUGAAAUAAGUGAAUAGAAUUUAUCUUGAUUUCAUGUAAAUAGCUUUAAUAACUGUAAUAUGAAGGCUUGCAUUGCAGUACAACAAGCUGGUAUGUACAAACCCAAACCAGAUGCCCUGCCGGGCUCUGACCAGCCGGCUGGUUUUAUUAGUCUUGCCACUCACUGGAGAAAGCACUGAUUCUGUCAGUGUUUGGGUAAUAGCUCUGCCCUGGGAUCUGCUGGAGCUGUUGCACAUCCAUCUGGCAAAAGACGUAGGGAUGCACGAGAGUUCCAACCUCGUGAGCUGUGUAAAUACAGAGCAGCAGCGUGUGCUGACGCCAAAGGCAGGCAUUGGCAAUGCUGCUCUCCCGGGCAGCUGCUGUGUGCACAGGAGGCAGUGCUGACACGGGCUGCGCAGCCGCACGGCAUCGUGUGUGCCGGCCAUCCUCUCUGGGGGCGAGUGGCUGCUCUUCCUGCAAGCUGGAGAGACUUCAGUAUAAAUGAAAAGACUAAACCCCUGAAUGCAGAAACAGCAGCUGCCAAUUUAUUUUGUUUGGAGCAGUAUUCACAUCACACGUUCAAGUAUGCACAGAGUGUAUUAAAAUAGCUAUCUAGAAAUACAGAGGAUGAUGCACUUGGCUGCUCCUGGAAAAUUCAUGAAUCAUGGUUUCCAAGCUAAGGCUUCACUAAGCCAGGGAAGUGACACUGAGAAGUGGCAUCUUCUGAGGAGAUCUCCCCAUCAGAAGGGGACUACUCUAGGUUCGUAUAUAAGAGCUCAAAAGGACGAAGUGGGGCUACUCAUUUCUCUCCAGGACAUUCCUAGAAGGAAUAUCCCAACAAAACAAGGGGAAAAAAAGAAAAAGAGAUCAUAUACAUCUAAAGAUGUUCAACGAUCUAAAGAGUGCUAAAGAAAUUAACAGGAAAAAAAAAUAAAAAGGAUGAAACCCACA